Panthera tigris altaica (Amur tiger) is the source of this 103-nucleotide small nuclear RNA. Lineage: Eukaryota; Metazoa; Chordata; Mammalia; Carnivora; Felidae. The record is from Ensembl.
GCGCUCACUUUGGCAGCACAUAUACUAAAAUUGGAACGAUAUAGAGAUGAGCAUGGCCCUGUGCAAGGGUGACAUGCAAAUUCGUGAAGCUUCCACAUUUUUU